Molecule: ribosomal RNA, 495 nt
Filed under: uncultured bacterium
Lineage: Bacteria
Description: partial 16S ribosomal RNA
Rfam family: Bacterial small subunit ribosomal RNA
Source: RNAcentral
GACGAACGCUGGCGGCGUGCCUAAUACAUGCAAGUAGAACGCUGAAGGAGGAGCUUGCUUCUCUGGAUGAGUUGCGAACGGGUGAGUAACGCGUAGGUAACCUGCCUGGUAGCGGGGGAUAACUAUUGGAAACGAUAGCUAAUACCGCAUAAGAGUAGAUGUUGCAUGACAUUUGCUUAAAAGGUGCAAUUGCAUCACUACCAGAUGGACCUGCGUUGUAUUAGCUAGUUGGUGGGGUAACGGCUCACCAAGGCGACGAUACAUAGCCGACCUGAGAGGGUGAUCGGCCACACUGGGACUGAGACACGGCCCAGACUCUUACGGGAGGCAGCAGUAGGGAAUCUUCGGCAAUGGACGGAAGUCUGACCGAGCAACGCCGCGUGAGUGAAGAAGGUUUUCGGAUCGUAAAGCUCUGUUGUAAGAGAAGAACGAGUGUGAGAGUGGAAAGUUCACACUGUGACGGUAUCUUACCAGAAAGGGACGGCUAACUACGUG